GAGGGUAUAGCUCAGUGGUAGAGCAUGUGCUUAGCACCCACGAGGUCCUGGGUUCAAUCCCUGGUGCCUCCA
RNAcentral lists this transfer RNA (72 nucleotides) under Camelus bactrianus (Bactrian camel). It matches the Rfam family "tRNA". From Rfam's summary of the family: Transfer RNA (tRNA) molecules are approximately 80 nucleotides in length. Their secondary structure includes four short double-helical elements and three loops (D, anti-codon, and T loops). Further hydrogen bonds mediate the characteristic L-shaped molecular structure. tRNAs have two regions of fundamental functional importance: the anti-codon, which is responsible for specific mRNA codon recognition, and the 3' end, to which the tRNAs corresponding amino acid is attached (by aminoacyl-tRNA synthetases). tRNAs cope with the degeneracy of the genetic code in two manners: having more than one tRNA (with a specific anti-codon) for a particular amino acid; and 'wobble' base-pairing, i.e. permitting non-standard base-pairing at the 3rd anti-codon position. The record is from Rfam by way of RNAcentral. RNAcentral also lists the same sequence under 2 other names. Lineage: Eukaryota; Metazoa; Chordata; Mammalia; Artiodactyla; Camelidae.